UCCCGUUUAACACGGGCAGUCUCUCUAGAGUGCUCAACUGAAUGGUAGCAACUAGAGACAGGGGUUGCGCUCGUUGCGGCACUUAAGCCAACAUCUCACGACACGAGCUGACGACAACCAUGCAGCACCUGUGCUGGCUCUCCUCUUGCGAGGAGUCGUCCCCGUUUCUGGGUUCUACCACCAGCAUGUCAAGGCCAGGUAAGGUUCUUCGCGUUGCAUCGAAUUAAGCCACAUGCUCCACCGCUUGUGCGGGCCCCCGUCAAUUUCUUUGAGUUUUAGCCUUGCGGCCGUACUUCCCAGGCGGUUCACUUAUCGCGUUAGCUGCGGCACGCAGGGGGUCGACUCCCCGCACACCAAGUGAACACCGUUUAGGGCUAGGACUAC
This 384-nucleotide unclassified non-coding RNA is filed under the name uncultured Verrucomicrobiae bacterium. Its description in RNAcentral is "contains 16S-23S intergenic spacer region". The record is from RNAcentral. Lineage: Bacteria; Pseudomonadati; Verrucomicrobiota; Verrucomicrobiia.